This 468-nucleotide ribosomal RNA is filed under the name uncultured bacterium. Its description in RNAcentral is "partial 16S ribosomal RNA". It matches the Rfam family "Bacterial small subunit ribosomal RNA", at positions 34 to 507 of the family's 1533-position model. The record is from RNAcentral.
UCCGCCCGCUGGCGGCGUGCUUAACACAUGCAAGUCGAACGGAAAGGCCCUGCUUUUGUGGGGUGCUCGAGUGGCGAACGGGUGAGUAACACGUGAGUAACCUGCCCUUGACUUUGGGAUAACUUCAGGAAACUGGGGCUAAUACCGGAUAGGAGCUCCUGCUGCAUGGUGGGGGUUGGAAAGUUUCGGCGGUUGGGGAUGGACUCGCGGCUUAUCAGCUUGUUGGUGGGGUAGUGGCUUACCAAGGCUUUGACGGGUAGCCGGCCUGAGAGGGUGACCGGCCACAUUGGGACUGAGAUACGGCCCAGACUCCUACGGGAGGCAGCAGUGGGGAAUAUUGCACAAUGGGCGGAAGCCUGAUGCAGCAACGCCGCGUGCGGGAUGACGGCCUUCGGGUUGUAAACCGCUUUCGCCUGUGACGAAGCGUGAGUGACGGUAAUGGGUAGAGAAGCACCGGCUAACUACGUG